This 202-nucleotide unclassified non-coding RNA is filed under the name uncultured fungus. RNAcentral describes it as "sequence contains ITS1". Lineage: Eukaryota; Fungi. The record is from RNAcentral.
UUAACUAUUGUAUAGUACUCAGACGACACUAACAUUCGGAGUUUGAAGGCCUCUGGCGGGCGCGCGCCGCCUAUUAGACGCCGGCGGCCGGGGGACCCGGCGGCCCGCCAAAGAAACGACAGUAGCAAUAACAGUGGGUGGGAGAUCUACCCGCGAGGGCGAGAACUCUGUAAUGAUCCCUCCGCAGGUUCACCUACGGAGA